AUGGAAGCUCCACCGCCUCUUCUCCUACCAUUCCGGCUGCUGCUGCUCCUCCUCCUCCUAGCCUCGAACACGGCCACCGCGGCUAGGGACGGCUGCAGCGUGGGCUGCGACCUCGCGGUGGGCUCCUACUACGCCCCCAAGGACACGAACAUCACAUAUAUCGCUUCGAUCUUCGGCUUGUCCGACUACCGAAUACUCGGCAAGUAUAACCCCGGGCUCCGCAGUCUCGACUUCUUAGCCGCCGGGGACCGCGUCGACGUCCCCUUCCCCUGCGAGUGCCUCGCGCGGCCAUCCGACCCGGCCUCCACCUACCUCGCCGCCUCCAUCCCCUACAAUGUCGCCACCGGAGAUACCUACGUCAGCAUCGCCAGCAACUACAUCAACCUCACCACCGCCGACUGGCUGCAGGCCACCAAUUCGUACCCGCCCAACAACAUCCCCGACGUCGCCAUCGUCAACGUCACCGUCAACUGCUCCUGCGGCGACGCCAGGAUCUCCACGGAUUACGGGCUCUUCCGCACAUUCCCGCUCAGAGACUGGGAGACUCUCAAAUCCGUCGCGGCAACUCCGCCAGAGCAGAUGGACCUACUCAGUAGGUAUAAUCCCGGUAUGGACGGUGUCACCGGGAGCGGCCUCGUGUACAUCCCUGCCCAAGAUCCCGAUGGAAGUUAUCGUCCUCUUAAAUCAUCAGCAGGGUAA
Molecule: ribosomal RNA, 699 nt
Filed under: Triticum aestivum (bread wheat)
Lineage: Eukaryota; Viridiplantae; Streptophyta; Magnoliopsida; Poales; Poaceae
Description: partial small subunit ribosomal RNA
Source: RNAcentral